GAUGAACGCUGGCGGCGUGCCUAAUACAUGCAAGUCGAGCGAACGGAUGAGCAUCUUUCUUCUCUGAUGUUAGCGGCGGACGGGCGAGUAACACGUGGAUAACCUACCUAUAAGCCUGGGAUAACUUCCGGAAACCGGAGCUAAUUCCGGAUAAUAUUUUGAAUCGCAUGGUUUAUAAGUGUAAGACGGUCUUUCUGUCAAUUCUAGAUGGAUCCGCGCUGCAUUAUAUAGUUGGUAAGGUAACGGCUUACCAAGGCAACGAUGCAUAGCCGACCGGAGAGGGGGAGAGGCCACCCCGGAUCGGAGACACGGUCCAGACUCCUACGGGAGGCAGCGGUAGGGAAUCGUCCGCAAGGGGCGAAAGCCUGACGGAACAACGCCGCGUAAGUGAUGAAGGUCUUCGGAUCGUAAAACUCUGUUACUAUUGAAGAACAAUUGUGUAAGUUACUGUUCACAUCUUGACGGUACCUAAUCAGAAAGCCACGGCUAACUACGUG
This 497-nucleotide ribosomal RNA is filed under the name uncultured bacterium. RNAcentral describes it as "partial 16S ribosomal RNA". It matches the Rfam family "Bacterial small subunit ribosomal RNA", at positions 28 to 507 of the family's 1533-position model. The record is from RNAcentral.